GAUGAACGCUGGCGGCGUGCCUAAUACAUGCAAGUCGAGCGAACAGACGAGGAGCUUGCUCCUCUGACGUUAGCGGCGGACGGGUGAGUAACACGUGGAUAACCUACCUAUAAGACUGGGAUAACUUCGGGAAACCGGAGCUAAUACCGGAUAAUAUAUUGAACCGCAUGUUCCAUAGUGAAAGACGGUUUUGCUGUCACUUAUAGAUGGAUCCGCGCCGCAUUAGCUAGUUGGUAAGGUAACGGCUUACCAAGGCAACGAUGCGUAGCCGACCUGAGAGGGUGAUCGGCCACACUGGAACUGAGACACGGUCCAGACUCCUACGGGAGGCAGCAGUAGGGAAUCUUCCGCAAUGGGCGAAAGCCUGACGGAGCAACGCCGCGUGAGUGAUGAAGGUCUUCGGAUCGUAAAACUCUGUUAUUAGGGAAGAACAAAUGUGUAAGUAACUAUGCACGUCUUGACGGUACCUAAUCAGAAAGCCACGGCUAACUACGUG
This 496-nucleotide ribosomal RNA is filed under the name uncultured bacterium. RNAcentral's name for it is "partial 16S ribosomal RNA". It matches the Rfam family "Bacterial small subunit ribosomal RNA", at positions 28 to 507 of the family's 1533-position model. The record is from RNAcentral.